AGCGGUACCAACAGCACGGAGGAAAACGGCGCUUUGCAGCGACAUCGGCUGGCCAGUCUGUUGAUGAUGAAGCAGCCAGUGGAAAAGGAGGAGUAUAGCAGGACUGUAUGAUUAUUCAUCCAGGGAGAGGUCGCCGUACCAAUCCAAGCUCAAGUGUCAAUUCAAUUCCUCUCUGGAACUCUGUUGCCUCCCAUUUGUCUACUGCAGCUUCAACCUCCAUAACCUUCACCUGCCUGCUCUCUUCCACAUUAAUUUCCCUACCAUACGAACUCAAUGCUCAAAACACGUCAGAACUCCUGCAGGACUUCAUAACCGAAUUCUCCGCUGUCUCCUCAAGCCCUUUCACCCUCCUCCAGACAGCAAGCUACUCUCAACAAUUUAUCUAUAAAAGAACUCCUGUCCAGAAUCUAACUUUCUGACUCUAUUCCA
Molecule: long non-coding RNA, 429 nt
Organism: Girardinichthys multiradiatus
Lineage: Eukaryota; Metazoa; Chordata; Actinopteri; Cyprinodontiformes; Goodeidae
Exons: 3
Source: RefSeq, a predicted model, not a curated record